Molecule: long non-coding RNA, 472 nt
Organism: Populus euphratica (Euphrates poplar)
Lineage: Eukaryota; Viridiplantae; Streptophyta; Magnoliopsida; Malpighiales; Salicaceae
Exons: 2
Source: RefSeq, a predicted model, not a curated record
UGUUCUCUUGCCCAAGGGACUCCUCUUUUAUCCCAAGCAAACUCGCUCAAAGUCACUACCAGACCCUCGACCACAAACCAUGCCCAUGCCCCAUCUCAGCCACCCUAUGACCUAAUCCCAUACAAAUUCUACGAAGACAAGCGACUGGAACGCCCUUCGUUGCAACAUUACAACAUUCAAGCAAGUCAAUGCGGUGCCCCCACUAUCCUAUACCUAGGGUGUUUUAAAAAUUAAGAGAUUUGGAAAGAUUGAAGAAGAGAGAUUGAAAUGCUUCAAUGCAGCUGAAGAACACAGAAAAGGGUAAUGCCUUUUCUGGUGAGAAGACAAAGACUGCCAGAUCUCAAGGGAGGAAGUUCAAAUAACUGUUGAACAUGAAAGACCAAGGUGAUCCACUUGUUGUUCUCUUUUUUCCUAUUUAUACUGUAUACUCUGGAUGCUAUUUGAUUUUAACUGAUGCACGACAUUAGGGAAU